GACGAACGCUGGCGGCGUGCUUAACACAUGCAAGUCGAACGGUAAGGCCCUUCGGGGUACACGAGUGGCGAACGGGUGAGUAACACGUGGGUGAUCUGCCCUGCACUUCGGGAUAAGCCUGGGAAACUGGGUCUAAUGCCGGAUAGGACCACUGCCUGCAUGGGUGGUGGUGGAAAGCUUUUGCGGUGUGGGAUGGGCCCGCGGCCUAUCAGCUUGUUGGUGGGGUGAUGGCCUACCAAGGCGACGACGGGUAGCCGGCCUGAGAGGGUGACCGGCCACACGGGGACUGAGAUACGGCCCAGACUCCUACGGGAGGCAGCAGUGGGGAAUAUUGCACAAUGGGCGCAAGCCUGAUGCAGCGACGCCGCGUGAGGGAUGACGGCCUUCGGGUUGUAAACCUCUUUCAGCACCGACGAAGCGCAAGUGACGGUAGGUGCAGAAGAAGGACCGGCCAACUACGUGCCAGCAGCCGCCGUAA
This 478-nucleotide ribosomal RNA is filed under the name uncultured bacterium. Its description in RNAcentral is "partial 16S ribosomal RNA". It matches the Rfam family "Bacterial small subunit ribosomal RNA", at positions 28 to 523 of the family's 1533-position model. The record is from RNAcentral.